AUACGGAGGGGGCUAGCGUUGUUCGGAAUUACUGGGCGUAAAGCGCGCGUAGGCGGAUUGAUCAGUCAGAGGUGAAAUCCCAGGGCUCAACCCUGGAACUGCCUUUGAUACUGUCAGUCUUGAGUUCGAGAGAGGUGAGUGGAAUUCCGAGUGUAGAGGUGAAAUUCGUAGAUAUUCGGAGGAACACCAGUGGCGAAGGCGGCUCACUGGCUCGAUACUGACGCUGAGGUGCGAAAGCGUGGGGAGCAAACAGGAUUAGAAACCCCUGUAGUCC
This 274-nucleotide ribosomal RNA is filed under the name uncultured bacterium. Its description in RNAcentral is "partial 16S ribosomal RNA". It matches the Rfam family "Bacterial small subunit ribosomal RNA", at positions 523 to 796 of the family's 1533-position model. The record is from RNAcentral.